This 446-nucleotide ribosomal RNA is filed under the name uncultured bacterium. RNAcentral describes it as "partial 16S ribosomal RNA". It matches the Rfam family "Bacterial small subunit ribosomal RNA", at positions 338 to 795 of the family's 1533-position model. The record is from RNAcentral.
CCUACGGGUGGCAGCAGUCGAGAAUCAUUCACAAUGGGGGAAACCCUGAUGGUGCGACGCCGCGUGGGGGAAUGAAGGUCUUCGGAUUGUAAACCCCUGUCAUGUGGGAGCAAAUUAAAAAGAUAGUACCACAAGAGGAAGAGACGGCUAACUCUGUGCCAGCAGCCGCGGUAAUACAGAGGUCUCAAGCGUUGUUCGGAAUCACUGGGCGUAAGGCGUGCGUAGGCGGUUUCGUAAGUCGUGUGUGAAAGGCGCGGGCUCAACCCGCGGACGGCACAUGAUACUGCGAGACUAGAGUAAUGGAGGGGGAAGCGGAAUUCGCGGUGUAGCAGUGAAAUGCGUAGAUAUCGAGAGGAACACUCGUGGCGAAGGCGGGUUCCUGGACAUUAACUGACGCUGAGGCACGAAGGCCAGGGGAGCGAAAGGGAUUAGAUACUCCAGUAGUC